GAUGAACGCUGGCGGUAUGCUUAACACAUGCAAGUCGAACGGACUCUUCGGAGUUAGUGGCGGACGGGUGAGUAACGCGUGAGAAUCUGGCUUUGGGCUCGGGACAACCACUGGAAACGGUGGCUAAUACCGGAUGUGCCGAGAGGUAAAAGAGAAAUUGCCUGAAGAUGAGCUCGCGUCUGAUUAGCUAGUUGGUGAGGUAAAGGCUCACCAAGGCAGCGAUCAGUAGCUGGUCUGAGAGGAUGACCAGCCACACGGGGACGGGGACCCGCCCGAGCCCCCUGGGGGGGGAAGGGGGGGGGAAUUUCCCAAAAGGGGGAAAAGCGGGAGGAAGAAACCCCGGGGGGGGAAAAAGGGCUCUUGGGUUAAAACCCUUUUUCCUGAGGGAAGAAAAAAAUGAGGUUACCUAAGAAAUAAGCACCGGCUACCUCGGUG
Molecule: ribosomal RNA, 435 nt
Filed under: uncultured bacterium
Lineage: Bacteria
Description: partial 16S ribosomal RNA
Rfam family: Bacterial small subunit ribosomal RNA
Source: RNAcentral